AUUUCCUGGAACCCCGAAAACGCAGCCCCGAAUUUCCAUCUCGCUCGGCGCGCUCGUUUCUCUCCGUUUCGCGUUGGAAGUUUUGGUUCCCUUCGGUUUACUUUCUGUUCACUUUCAUUAAAAUGCCAUCAAGCGAAGGAGUUUAUUGACGGGAGAGCCCAGCGUUACAGGGGCGGUUUUUUUAGUUGGAAAGAAUAAAAGUCUCGAAAGAUGAAGCUUCAUCUUAAAAAAAUAAUAAUAAAAAAAUCAGAACCGGGCUCUUGUUAAUAACUUUGCAAAUGCAACUCCACCUUUUGAUAAAUUUAUUUCAUGCGAGUCGUUACGGGGCCCAGGCGUUCGGUAGGUGAUCUGUGGCCGGUCAUCAAUUAUAGUGAUUUCCUUGCAUCGGCUCCAGAAAAUCAGAAUAUUCAUGAGCUUUCUGGUCUGACUCAGACCUUCGGGAGCCACGACAUUUUCUCGGUGGGACGAGAGAGAGGCAGCGCCGUCGGUGAUUUUUUGGCACCUGAACGAAACCAGAAAUAGAUCCACAGGAGAACAGGGGGUGACGUCCCUUUGUUUUUGUUUGGUCCCCUCGCCCUGCUUUCAAUUUGUGGAAACGUGUGUUUUUUUUAAAACCGCGUUAAACGUGCGCUCGGUUUCAUAAUGCGCUGGGUCGGUGGAGGAAGUGGUUUUGUUUUCGUGAGUUUGUUUAAACAAAUGACCGAGGUUUUUUUUUUGUUUUUCACUCUGUCUGGCCAAGCAGAAUUGCCACACUUUUUUAAAAGCGUGAAACACUGACCAGCGAGUGUUCUUUGCCACCCUCUCCUUUUGUGAUUGCAAGACAGGGAGGCAGACACCAAUGGCGCCUCGCACAAUGGAGGAUGUGGAUCUUUACCUUGAGUCUUUACCUGUGUGGACAUCGCUUCUGCUGACCUGGCUACAGCAGGCGUGCAUUUCUGUGAGCCCCCAGACGGACGCACUCGGCGGCUGGUCAAGGAAAAAGUAUUGAAUCCGCAAGAACUCACCACAAGAAGAGCCCUUUGUUUUGUUAUUUUUAAAGCCAUUGUUAUUAAACACCGGGUUUGGGGCGGUACUAAUCCUGCGCUCUCUCCAUUGGUGUGAAUUAGGACAUUUCAAGUAGAAAUAACUGAGAAAAAUUGUGAAGUCAGGUUAAGCACCGCAGUAAAAUUUCCACCUUUUUAGACA
This is a non-coding RNA of Miniopterus natalensis, 1185 nucleotides long. Lineage: Eukaryota; Metazoa; Chordata; Mammalia; Chiroptera; Miniopteridae. The record is from RefSeq and is a predicted model, not a curated record.